Microcebus murinus (gray mouse lemur) is the source of this 7240-nucleotide non-coding RNA. The record is from RefSeq and is a predicted model, not a curated record. Lineage: Eukaryota; Metazoa; Chordata; Mammalia; Primates; Cheirogaleidae.
UCUAUCCAGGGCAACAGAGCAAGACCCUGUCUCAAAAAAAAAAAAAAGUCUACAAAGUAUUUCUCUAUUUUUGUACCUGUUUUGUAGGCCUUUUUAUUCGGAAUUAUUUGACAAAGGCAAAGAUUAUUACAUUCCUAAUCCAAAGAGGUGUUUGUAUAUGAGAGAAGAACUCUGAGGCCAGUUGUCUGCAGCAUCCAGUACUGCUCAUAGUUCUAACAGGUGUAAUGAUUGCCAUACCUCCAGCCAUAGUUUCCUCCCAAGGCAUGUGUUAUUAAAUGUUCAGGGUUCUGAAGUUUUAAAAAAACCUCAGUCUCACCUGAGAAGGGUUCCCUUCCUAAGCACACAGCUGAUAAAGGGCCGCACAAUUGUCUGCUGGGUGAUGUUUCUAACAGCAGGAGAGCCCCUGAGAAGGACCUGAAGAGCUCAGCCUGCACAUUAUUCUGGAGUCAGCUCGCUCCACAAAUUCAGUGCUGCUGAAUUAACAUGUGGAUGCCAGAAAUCUCCAAAAUUUAGUGAUGUGAGGUUGAGUUCCUAAUAAUUUUUCUUCUAUUACAUUCUAAAUCAUCUUUCCCCUUACAGAAGUAAUUAAGAUAUAUAUAUAUGCUCUGAUUUUUUUAGAAUGGAUGAUUGGAAUGAAAAAUAAGGCAAUAAAAGUGAACAAAGCUUAAAUUUUAAUAGUUCUGUUUUCUUUUAUUUACAGAAACAAUCUGGAAAAGAUGACUAAAAAUCAUAAUCCUAGCUCCAGAAGGAAGAACUGAAAGAGUUUAUGUGCUAGUGUUAAUGUUAUAAGCAAAAACUAAUGUGACCAUUGGGACAACAGCUAGGAUAGGCUAUUUGGCCAAUACAGUGUGAGUUGCUUAUCCAGAACUGUGCUAUCUUUUCCUAGGGUUUUCUGAGCAGCAUAGUAUAGUGGUUCAGAACAUGGACUGUGGAACCAGAUCGCCAGAGUCAAACCCCAUCUCCACCGCACACCAGCAGUGUGGCCUUGGGCAAGAGCUAUAACCCUCUGGCAUCCUCAUAAUGGAACCUACCUCAUAGGUUGUUGUGAAGGUUCAAUUUGUGAUAUUCUUAGUGCCAAGCACUUAGGGCUAUUCCGACACAAAUACAAAACUCAACUGAAACACCUAUUCAUGAUCUGGUGCUCUACGAUGUAAAAAACCUGGGAUCUUUGUUUUUAGACACCCUUCUUGACCAUUUGACUGUCAAUGUCUCCACAAAAGGAUAAGUACUUAAAGAUCCUGAACCCAAAGUCUAAUUGUAAUACUAAAUAAAGAUGUUUUAGUAAUGAAUCACACCAGAAGCAAAUGAGUAGAAUGGGAUUUGCAUUAGGAUCCCAAUUAUCCAGGUUUUUCCUAAACCUUUACACUCAGAUAUAUUUUAAAGGUCUUCAUAAAGGAAAUAAAACUUAGGAAAUUUACUUCCAGUAGAGUCAACUCUUUACAACCAGAUUAUCCACAUGUAAGCCUCCAGACCAUAGCCCUGCAGAGGCAGGGAGUUAGAAAGUCUGAGGGCAGCCAGUGGGAAGGGGUACCACCUCACUGCAGUGGAACUGAUCCUGCUUCAGAGGCUCCCUGCCAAACCCUUUCUGAGUCUGUCCCAAAGCUUUCUCCCAGUUUCUUUGGGUUUUUUGGCAAUUAUACACAUAGCUUAGCUAAUCUGUCUACAGAUUGAGCAACAUAAGGCAUUUUUCUAGAUUCUCACUGGGAAUCUUCUAUCAAUAAUGAUAACAGCAACAGAGUUACACCGCUAUUAUGUGCCAAGCACUGUUCUAAGCUAUCCUGUGCAUUACCUCAUUUAACUCUCACAGCACCUCCAUGAGAAAGGUACUAUCCUCACAUCACAGAAGAGGAAACAGGAUCAGGGAGGUAAAGUAACCAGGUCGCUGUGCUAAUCAGUGACAGGCUCACAUCGGAACCAGUCUGCCUCCAGACCGUAUGCUCUUAACCAUAUUAACUAUACUGGCUCUGAUUUUUUUUUUCAUUUUCAGUGAUAUUUUAGUAUAGAAAAUACCAAUUGAUAGAAAAUGCUAAUAUGUAAAGAUCUAAGCAGCCUAUAUGCUUUUCAAAUUAAACUUGCAGCUUUAAUCCUGUGGUAACCAUUUUACAUGAAAAGACUGUUGGGUUAUAAAUAAGUCCCCAAAGGAACUCUUUGGUCUAAAAUGGUUUUAUUUUAUUCAGUUUUCUUUUACUUUUGAAUUGAUCUUUUUGAUUUCUGAAGGCAGCAGAUUUGGCAGAUUCCUACAUGGUCUGAAAUCAAGGACCCAGUAACCAGCAUUGAUCUGUACUGAUAUAACUUUUCAAAGGUUGGUUUUUUGUUGUUUUGUUGUUGUUAAAUUGCAUAGACUUAGGAGUUCACUAAUCUUUAAAUAAAAGCAGGUUUUAGUAAAUUAGUUGGGAUUGUGAAUGCAUAAGGCUUCUGAAUUAGGAAUGGCAUUUUCAGCAAGCAAGGGUGCUGAUCAAGACUACAGAGAGUGCUUUUUAUGAGGAAUAUAUCAGGUAUCCCCCUGAGGUGAGAAUCCAUUUCAUAACCAAGUAUUUGCUAAGUAUAAACCAAAUCACAUAACUGUAACUCAUCAUUCCAAUAGUAUGCAUUGUUUAGUUGCGGCAUGAUUUCUAACUUUUCCUUAGCCUACACAUAACAAGUAGGUAGAUAUUAAAGUCCAGCCAAGAGCUAUGGGAAUGUCAGACACAUAAUUCUUGAAUUAUGCCACCCUUUUACCUGCUAGGUUGGGAGAAACAUUCUUCUGACAUUUAGAAGAUGUGGUCCUUAGCCUCAGGCUGUGAGUCUUGGCACUCACCAAUAAGACGGGCUUCAGCCUACCUUGUAAACUGGGCAGUGAUGGAUGAACCCAAGGGUUCCUGCAAGGCCUGAGGUCUGGCUAAAGCUGCCCCUGCUAUUGCCAAUUGCUCUACAGUCCACAUUGCCCUUCCCAAAACCACCCAGCUAGAGUCACAAGUGCCCAUCUGCAAGCUUAAUCUCACCAACAGGUUAGCCUGGGCUUAGUCUUACUGCUACAGGGUCACACACCCAUUUUUUCCCAAAACAAUUACUUCCUAAGUUUUCUGACUGUUGACUCUGUCCACAUUCUUAGGCCUUUGCCUCAGUUACCUGCCUAGUUCCCCAGUCAUCUCCUGCAAUUUGACCAGGUCCAGCAUCUGGUCUCUUUAGCCUCCUAGCUGAUGACACCUAGCUUUCCUGCACUGAGGACUGGUACUAUGCAGACCAGGGCGCAUGGCAGACAGAGAAGGCCUGAUUGUACAAGCAAAGCACACAGGUAAUGAAUAGCUGUCAAACUCUGAGCAAUCUAAUUCCCUGAAGAAAGGGCUGGCAAGAGUGAAGUGGGUGGGAGGCCCUCUGUCCUGGAAGAUACAGGAGAAUAAGGCAGGGGAACCAGGUCAAGAAAACAAAAGCUGAGGGGCACUCUGCCCCCAGCCCUGCUGCACACUCAUGCCUAAGUGCUGCCUUGCGUUGCUCCCUGGAGAGCCUCAGCCUAAUCAAGCCCCGCUCGGCCCUCAGAAUCCAGCUCAGAUGUCACUGCCUCCUACCCCCAAAGGUUCUCCAACUCCUCAGUACCAUGUGAAGUCUAUCUUUGGGCUGUAGGACUCUGUGCCACAGAUAAUUGCUUUCAUAGGGGUGGGAGAAAAUAUUAGUAACAGGAGAAGAAUAUGGGCUUUGUAAUCAGACAGGAUUUCAUGUCCCUAUUCUGCCAGUUAGUAACUGCGAUCUUAGGUAAGUAACUGAAGAUGUCCUGAGCCUCAGCUUCCUCAUCUUUAAAUGGAGACUUUUUUAAAAAACUGGCAAAGAUAAUACUAUGUGUUCAUCAUGCUGUUUAUUCUUUGGAGGCACACAGGAAGACCACAUUUACCAGCCUCCCUCGCAGCUGAGUUGGUGCCAGGCCUGGCCCUUGAAAAUAUCCCACAUCAUCUUUGCACAAGCAAAAACUAUAAUUUUAUUGUGUUAAGCCAUUUGAGUAUUUGUUACUGCAGCAGAGCACAUAGCCUAUCCUUGCAAAAAUAGAGUACUUCUAAAUUUAUGUUCCUGUCAGCACUGUAUGACACUACCCGUUCGGUCCUGGCCAUCACUGUGUUUUAGCAUUAAAAAUAACAAAUAGUUCUACGUGCCUCAUGACAUAAAUACUCUGCUGACAUGCAACCUCCAAAAGCAGUGGAGCCAAGACUACGGGUAAGGUUACUAUUUUUUCUUUUUAACAGCUACCUCCUUCCUCAAAGGGAUGGAAAGGGGUCCCGAUUGUCGGUGUGCCAGCCAGGGUUUAUACAGCAGGUGUCUGAAUGUUUGCACAUGAAGUGUCUGUAAAUUUUAAUGUAUUUUAAUGAAUUCUGUUGUAAAUCUCUUUGUAAAAUGAAUAAUCAUGUUCUGAUUAUCUCUAAUAAUUCAUAUUUUCAUAUAUCAAUUUAGCUUAAAGGAUCUUACUACAUGAUCUAAUACCUAUAAAAGGAAGAAACUUAGAAAGAUAAACUAGCUAUGAAAUGAAGACCUUAACAGAGUGCCUGCCAGACCAGUAUCGUUUCACCUUGACCACUUUGGAUGUGGAUGGAAGAGAGAUGUCUCAGAAGACGUCUCCAUGGGCCUGGAUCUCCUGGAAAUCAGACCCUGUGGCUACGUGGAGUAACUUGAACAGCAGUUUCUCUCCAGCAUCCUUUCAGGACAGCAAAUAUAUAGGAAAUUAUGCUGCCUACACUGAUCUUCUGUUAAACUGCAACAUGGUCAUCACUGCCAAAGGACUCCUGGAUUUCCAUAUUAUGUAUGAAACCCACAGCAUGAAAAGAAAAAGUUCGAAGAAGAAAGGAAAUUGGAUUCCUAUUUCAAAACAUCAAGACACUGUGGACAUCACCAACAUAGAACAGACCUUCUGCACAUCCGGCAGGAUCUCUGUCUGUGCUCAUGGACCUCCCCAGCCCUGCCCAGUGUUCUCACCCAGGAACAAGAAUAACAAAGUCACUGCUAAGUCUGUCCCAGAAGAUCCUACAGGUCACCCUACCCAUACUCCCCUCCCUACAUGCCCACAUCCCACCUGGGCAGUGGGUACAAAAGCAGUAACCAAGUGGCCAAGGGAGCAGAGAGGUGACCACCAGGUUUAAAAUGAUGCAGAUGAGGUGAUUCAUCCCAAUGAUGACCAAGCAGCUACUCACAGUGCGCUGCGUCUGCCCUGCUCCAUACUGGAGCUCCUGAAGACAGGCAGGACGCUGAUGUACAAGUGACAGUGGAAAAGAAAAAAAGCCAGUGAUUUUAAAAAAUGAAUACAAGAUGGUACAACUGAAUACCAAAAAAGAAAAGCUGUAGCAUCAUAGAGAAUCUUACUGGAGUUGUGGGCAUCUCCUAAAUGGGCUUAAAACUACUAGCAGCAAACAGCUGCGGAACAAUUUUUAAACAGCAGGUGAUGAAAUUUAGUGCACAUCAGUUUGUCAAAGCUGCAUUUCCAAGUUGUCAUAAAUCUGCGUCUCAGCCUAUGGGAUGGGCAUGGACAGCAGAAAAAUCUGACAGUGAAUAUAAUAAAGGCUGUGAAAGAAGAAAUGGAGAGGAGAGAGGAGAAGGUGGACUCGGAGGAGAGAAGCCAGCCUUGCCCAGAGCCUGCGGCCGCGUGCCAGCAUUCACAUCUGCCUUGCCAGGAGCGCGAGGCCCGCUGGUGCGCCGUCCUGCAGACGCGCCUAACCCGUGUCUCCAGGGACGCCUUCAGCCCAGUCCUCACCGACAGCAUCACUUUUUGACACUCAUUUUACAGAAGCCUCCUGGGUGAUUAGCCAUCAUCCGUCUCCCAGGGACGGAAGUGCUCCGCACGUCAUCUACCAGUGACCGCUGGGGCGGGGUCUCUGCUUUCUAGGGGGCGAGGAGUCUGGCCUGGGCCCUGGCCCUGAGGCUGCAGCGUGAUCAAAGCUAUAACAGCGGCCAGGACAGGGGACUGAGGCUGUAGGAGAGUGGGCAUCCGGCCUCGAAGAGUCAUCAGGACAGUUAGCGUGGACUCCGUGGAGUGGGCAGGGAGAAGGGGGCCAGACAGCACCGGAGACCAGUGUGGAAGGGCAGACGGGCCUGGCAGCCAGAGGGCCCAGCUCAUCUGCGGACGGCUGCAAAACCUUGGGCAAGUUACAUCAUUUCUCCAGGCUUCACUUUUUUAUAUGUGGAUUGGGAGAAGCUAAUUACUCACAAUUAUUCUUUCUCAGCCCACCUUUGCCAAGGUCCACUGUGGGCAGAGAAUGCUCCCUACACCAUUGAUGAUGGGCUCGGCCCUGUGACGCUUCAGCCACUGAAAUGUGGGUGGCAAUGACGGGACAGCUCCAAACCAAGGCCACCAGCCCCUCUGUGCUCUGUACCUGCCACGAGAAGGGCACGGCCUGGGGAGCUGUUGCUCCAAGAACACAGAGACACAUGGAACAGCCUGAAUCCAACCCACAGCCUGAAGCAGAGCGGCCGCAGCCAACGCACAAACCCGAGAGCAAGAAAAAUAAUGUCUGUGGCUGUAGGAUUUGACACGCAGCAUCACUGACGCAGAAAUUUAAAUGUCCAGCAAAGUGUCGGGCACAGGAAGUGCUGAGAGGCCAGUAACAGCUUUGCUUUAGGCACAAUGAAAGGGCAUGGGCUUUGGGGACCAAUGCUAUUCUCACUGACCACGUGACCGUGACCACAUUUCGUAGCAUCUCUGAGCCAGUGUCUUCAUUUUCCAGCAGAGGGAAUGUGAGGAUUAAAUAGAGCGAUGCCACUAAAGUGCUCAGAGCCGUACAAGGCACACUCAGAGGCAUUGUUAUUUAUUUAACAUACAUGUAUAUUUGCCAGGCACUGUUCUAAAUACUUGACAAAUAUUAUCUUAUUUAACGUAUCAACUCUCCAUGGCAGGUACUAUUUAUUUUCCUCUUUAUGGAAAUGAACAGGAGAGGCAAGGUACCGCUGAGUUCAGCACGAGGUGGGGGGGACUGCAAGUAGCAGUCUGAAGGCAAAAAGCCCAGGAUGAGGCUGGUACAGAGGUCAGAGGUCAAAGCAUGCUGGGGAUUUGGGAGCAAAGAAUGGAGGGGUGCUCUGCCUGGCCCUGGCAAGAACCCUCCAGCAGGACCCCACCUGGGGAGAGAGGGGGGUCCAGACCCCGGAGAGGUGACAGCUUGGAGGUGAGGGCCAUGUGGUCCUGCAGCACCUGCACCUCCAGCCACUGUGACCAGUGGGCUCAGCAUUCACAACCAACACAUGUGACUGAGGCUGGAGUAUUACAUUAUGAAGUAGAAUGAUUUCCCUCCAG